AUUGAACGCUGGCGGAAUGCUUUACACAUGCAAGUCGAACGGCAGCACGGACUUCGGUCUGGUGGCGAGUGGCGAACGGGUGAGUAAUGUAUCGGAACGUGCCCAGUCGUGGGGGAUAACGUAGUGAAAAUUACGCUAAUACCGCAUACGAUCUAUGGAUGAAAGCGGGGGAUCGCAAGACCUCGCGCGAUUGGAGCGGCCGAUAUCAGAUUAGGUAGUUGGUGGGGUAAAGGCCCACCAAGCCAACGAUCUGUAGCUGGUCUGAGAGGACGAGCGGCCACACUGGAACUGGGACCCGGUCCAGACGCCUACGGGAGGAAGCAGUGGGGAAUUUUGGACAAUGGGGGAAGGCCUGAUCCAGCCAUUCCGCGUGCAGGAUGAAGGCCCUCGGGUUGUAAACUGCUUUUGUACAGAACGAAAAGGUUUCUACUAAUACUAGGAGCUCAUGACGGUACUGUAAGAAUAAGCACCGGCUAACUACGUGCCAGCAGCCGCCGUAA
This 500-nucleotide ribosomal RNA is filed under the name uncultured bacterium. RNAcentral describes it as "partial 16S ribosomal RNA". It matches the Rfam family "Bacterial small subunit ribosomal RNA", at positions 30 to 523 of the family's 1533-position model. The record is from RNAcentral.